Molecule: long non-coding RNA, 824 nt
Organism: Lycium barbarum (goji berry)
Lineage: Eukaryota; Viridiplantae; Streptophyta; Magnoliopsida; Solanales; Solanaceae
Exons: 3
Source: RefSeq, a predicted model, not a curated record
AUAAAAAGGGGAGGGGUUCGGCUAGGGGCUGGCCGAAACCAGCCCCUCAAAUUUGAUCAUGGGGGAUUAUUUUCUUUUAGUUUUCUUGCUAUGUGGAAGGUGCUCUUUAACAUGGUGGAAUUGUUGGAGCAAAUAGAACGCUUAUAUGGAUGAUUCGUAAGUCUUAACCAAGUGGAGAAGUUGAAGAAUGAAGGGGAGAUGCUGCCGAAAUUCCGGCAGAACAUAAGUAAACGUGUUUGAAAGAUUAGGACAAGUAUGUGACAACGAGUCUAACGAAUGGAUGAAUCCUUUUGGACGUAGAUUGACAAGUUGGAUGAACAAGUGUAACGAGUUGGUCGCGACUCAGGUACUCCCAGAUGAGUUGAAGACAUUAUAGAAGACGUUCCAGCGAAGAUGGCAAACUCCAUUUGCUCCUGGAGGACUGCCGAGUCAGAAAUAUAUGUGAUAUGGUUUCUGGUUAAUGUUAGAGACUUUGCAGACAGAGUCGUGGGUAUAGUAUGUCAGUUCUGUAAGCGGCUACAUCAGCCGAUGUGUCAGUCUGUAUUAUAACAUGAAUUCUAUAUAAUUACAGAUUUUGUUGACUUUGAUAAGUAAAGAGAAAAAAAAAAUCUGGGAGCCUUAAUAUGUAUGUCAUGCUUAUUUGACUUAACAGGUCCGGAAAGAUCAUGUGUGAAAUAAGAGUCUGUGGGUUCGCUCGGCUCCGGAUAUGGGGUCGGGUGCCCAUCACACCCUAGGGAAAUCAGGGUGUGACAAAGUGGUAUCAGAGCGAGGUCUGUCCGUGGGGUUGUCUGCAAAGUCGUGUCCAGUAGAGUCCUGUUUAUGGU